RNAcentral lists this ribosomal RNA (468 nucleotides) under uncultured bacterium. RNAcentral describes it as "partial 16S ribosomal RNA". It matches the Rfam family "Bacterial small subunit ribosomal RNA", at positions 28 to 507 of the family's 1533-position model. The record is from RNAcentral.
GACGAACGCUGGCGGCGUGCUUAACACAUGCAAGUCGAACGGAAAGGCUCUGCUUUUGUGGGGUGCUCGAGUGGCGAACGGGUGAGUAACACGUGAGUAACCUGCCCUUGACUUUGGGAUAACUUCAGGAAACUGGGGCUAAUACCGGAUAGGAGCUCCUGCUGCAUGGUGGGGGUUGGAAAGUUUCGGCGGUUGGGGAUGGACUCGCGGCUUAUCAGCUUGUUGGUGGGGUAGUGGCUUACCAAGGCUUUGACGGGUAGCCGGCCUGAGAGGGUGACCGGCCACGUUGGGACUGAGAUACGGCCCAGACUCCUACGGGAGGCAGCAGUGGGGAAUAUUGCACAAUGGGCGGAAGCCUGAUGCAGCAACGCCGCGUGCGGGAUGACGGCCUUCGGGUUGUAAACCGCUUUCGCCUGUGACGAAGCGUGAGUGACGGUAAUGGGUAAAGAAGCACCGGCUAACUACGUG